ACUAAAUUUUGGGGUUUGGAAACCAUCGAUAUGCGAUGAACGUAAACAUGGAAUUUUUAGGAAUUUUACAGAGCCAAAUGUAGCUCAGUUCUGGAAUAUUCCGGUAAAGCUCAACCGCAUCUUAAUCUUUAUGCAGACAGCAAGUGAGGACUCAUGAAUGAAACGGAUUUAGAGGGAGAGGAAGCCCUCUCCAGUCGACUGAAGGACAGUUAUCCGUACAGAGGAGAUGGAACAGGGAGAUCAGAGCCAGUUACUAUCCGAGGCAUCAAGAUACGCUCGGACAGUGAUGUAUCAGGUUUGUUUUCUGUUUUACAGUUUGAAAAUCCAAACAUGUAGUGUAUACCUGUAACAAAACCCUUUUAAGGCUAAUAUUUUUUUUUGAAAUGUCACUGAACAUCUUUCUUGCGUUUCCUUUUAUGCGUUUCAGGUCACAUGACCAAGGUCAAAGGCCAAAAAUAGGGUCAAUGAACCUAAAUUAUGCUCGGGGAAUAAAAAAAUAAAACCAAGGUUAAGUUUUUUAAAUGUCAACUCUGAACGUAUAUGGAUCUAGUUUAUGAAACUUAGACAUUUAGUAAUCAAGCAGUGAACAUCCUGCAUGAGUUUCAGGUCACACAGUGGCAUAACAGGCGGGGGGGGGGGGGGGGGGCAGGGAGGGGUAAGCUGCCCCUCUGGUGGAGUUCACUGGGAAAAUUAAAAAAAAACGGGAAAAAAGAAAAAAAAAGGGGGAUAAAGAAUUAAAGAAAUGGAAAGGGAAAGGAUAGGAAAAAAAGAGGAAAGGGGGAAAGGAAAGGGAAAAGAAAACUAAGAAAAAACAUAAAAAGGGAAAACGGAAAGAAAACAGGAAAAGGAAGGAAAGAGGAACAUGUGAAAAAAAAACAAUUUUCCCCGAUAUGCAAAUACAUUAGCAUGAUUAGUAAGACGGAAAUAAAUUAAAGAUGACAAAAAGGCAAACAAAAGCGGAAAAUGAAGGAAGAAUGGAAUGAGCCAAAAUAUAAAUUUUAUUUAUAAUGUUUAUGAUAUUUUGCUUAUAAGUUAUAUAUACUCUGUUUUGUUUUACUUUUACUUAUAGAUAAAUAUCAUUGUUCAUGCCUCAAUUUAUUUUGUCUGUAUAAGUUCAUUGUAAUUAUUUCAACCACAUUACUUUGUUCUGUUGAAAAUGAAAUAAAUUGAAAAAUUGAAUUGAAUUGAAUAAAUUGGAAAAUAAAGAAAAGGGACAAGAUAACACUACCGGGCUGCCGAGGAUUGAAGAUAACAAGCGGGAAGAAAGAUGAUGGUAUAUACAUGUAGCAUAAUGUCGUAUAAACUUAAUGCGAAAUCUCCAAAGCUACCGGGGGCUCAGUCCAAGACCCCGUGCAGUGGGGGCUCUUCAUAAAAGAAAAUGAAGGAGGCAGCGAAAUGAGAUGAAUGAAAAAAUACAUAAUUAUAAUUUCAUUUCAAAAGACCCUUUUUCUUUCAGGCUCGCUUCGCUCGGUGGCGACUUAAAA
Lytechinus pictus (painted urchin) is the source of this 1484-nucleotide long non-coding RNA. RefSeq lists it as uncharacterized. The transcript has 2 exons. Lineage: Eukaryota; Metazoa; Echinodermata; Echinoidea; Temnopleuroida; Toxopneustidae. The record is from RefSeq and is a predicted model, not a curated record.